AACCGGAAUUUGCUAUUGCCCACAUGUGUUUUUCUUUGAAACAAACUUGCUUUGGCGGUGGGCCCAGCCUGCCGCCAGAGGUCUAAACUUACAACCAAUUUUUUAUCAACUUGUCACACCAGAUUAUUACUUAAUAGUCAAAACUUUCAACAACGGAUCUCUUGGUUCUCGCAUCGAUGAAGAACGCAGCGAAAUGCGAUACGUAAUAUGAAUUGCAGAUAUUCGUGAAUCAUCGAAUCUUUGAACGCACAUUGCGCCCUCUGGUAUUCCGGAGGGCAUGCCUGUUUGAGCGUCGUUUCUCCCUCAAACCGCUGGGUUUGGUGUUGAGCAAUACGACUUGGGUUUGCUUGAAAGACGGUAGUGGUAAGGCGGGAUCGCUUUGACAAUGGCUUAGGUCUAACCAAAAACAUUGCUUGCGGCGGUAACGUCCACCACGUAUAUCUUCAAACUUUGACCUCAAAUCAGGUAGGACUACCCGCUGAACUUAAGCAUAUCAAUAAGGCGGAGGAA
Molecule: ribosomal RNA, 510 nt
Filed under: Candida albicans
Lineage: Eukaryota; Fungi; Ascomycota; Pichiomycetes; Serinales; Debaryomycetaceae
Description: eukaryotic LSU rRNA
Rfam family: 5.8S ribosomal RNA (bases 142-295)
Source: RNAcentral